GCGCCCGUAGCUCAGUCCGGAUAGAGCGGCGGACUUCUAAUCCGAAGGUCGGAGGUUCGAGUCCUCCCGGGCGCG
RNAcentral lists this transfer RNA (75 nucleotides) under Acidimicrobiia bacterium. RNAcentral describes it as "tRNA-Arg". It matches the Rfam family "tRNA". Rfam says of the family: Transfer RNA (tRNA) molecules are approximately 80 nucleotides in length. Their secondary structure includes four short double-helical elements and three loops (D, anti-codon, and T loops). Further hydrogen bonds mediate the characteristic L-shaped molecular structure. tRNAs have two regions of fundamental functional importance: the anti-codon, which is responsible for specific mRNA codon recognition, and the 3' end, to which the tRNAs corresponding amino acid is attached (by aminoacyl-tRNA synthetases). tRNAs cope with the degeneracy of the genetic code in two manners: having more than one tRNA (with a specific anti-codon) for a particular amino acid; and 'wobble' base-pairing, i.e. permitting non-standard base-pairing at the 3rd anti-codon position. The record is from RNAcentral. Lineage: Bacteria; Bacillati; Actinomycetota; Acidimicrobiia.